RNAcentral lists this ribosomal RNA (656 nucleotides) under uncultured bacterium. RNAcentral describes it as "bacterial SSU rRNA". It matches the Rfam family "Bacterial small subunit ribosomal RNA", at positions 233 to 885 of the family's 1533-position model. The record is from RNAcentral.
GCGGCCUAUCAGCUUGUUGGUGGGGUGAUGGCCUACCAAGGCGACGACGGGUAGCCGGCCUGAGAGGGUGUCCGGCCACACUGGGACUGAGAUACGGCCCAGACUCCUACGGGAGGCAGCAGUGGGGAAUAUUGCACAAUGGGCGCAAGCCUGAUGCAGCGACGCCGCGUGGGGGAUGACGGCCUUCGGGUUGUAAACCUCUUUCACCAUCGGCGAAGCCCAUAGCUUGUGUUGUGGGUGACGGUAGGUGGAGAAGAAGCACCGGCCAACUACGUGCCAGCAGCCGCGGUAAUACGUAGGGUGCGAGCGUUGUCCGGAAUUACUGAGCGUAAAGAGCUCGUAGGUGGUUUGUCGCGUUGUCCGUGAAAUUCCCUGGCUUAACUGGGGGCGUGCGGGCGAUACGGGCAGACUGGAGUACUGCAGGGGAGACUGGAAUUCCUGGUGUAGCGGUGGAAUGCGCAGAUAUCAGGAGGAACACCGGUGGCGAAGGCGGGUCUCUGGGCAGUAACUGACGCUGAGGAGCGAAAGCGUGGGGAGCGAACAGGAUUAGAUACCCUGGUAGUCCACGCCGUAAACGGUGGGUACUAGGUGUGGGUUUCCUUCCCUGGGAUCCGUGCCGUAGCUAACGCAUUAAGUACCCCGCCUGGGGAGUACGG